UCGAGAAUUUUUCUCAAUGGGCGCAAGCCUGAAGGAGCGACGCCGCGUGGGGGAUGAAGGGUUUCGAUCCGUAAACCCCUGUCAUUCGUGAACAAUGGUUACGAUUGAAUAUUUCGUGACUUGAUAGUAACGGAAGAGGAAGGGACGGCUAACUCUGUGCCAGCAGCCGCGGUAAUACAGAGGUCCCGAGCGUUGUUCGGAUUCACUGGGCGUAAAGGGUGCGUAGGUGGCAUAGAAAGUUUGAUGUGAAAGCUCAGGGCUUAACCCUGAAAUGGCAUUGAAUACUGCUGUGCUGGAGGUUUGGAGGGGGGACUGGAAUUCUUGGUGUAGCAGUGAAAUGCGUAGAUAUCAAGAGGAACACCAGUGGCGAAGGCGAGUCCCUGGACAACACCUGACACUGAGGCACGAAAGCUAGGGGAGCAAACAGGAUUAGAUACCCCCGUAGUCC
Molecule: ribosomal RNA, 448 nt
Filed under: uncultured bacterium
Lineage: Bacteria
Description: bacterial SSU rRNA
Rfam family: Bacterial small subunit ribosomal RNA
Source: RNAcentral